RNAcentral lists this ribosomal RNA (475 nucleotides) under uncultured organism. Its description in RNAcentral is "bacterial SSU rRNA". It matches the Rfam family "Bacterial small subunit ribosomal RNA", at positions 30 to 500 of the family's 1533-position model. The record is from RNAcentral.
AUUGAACGCUGGCGGCAUGCCUUACACAUGCAAGUCGAACGGUAACAGGUCUUCGGAUGCUGACGAGUGGCGAACGGGUGAGUAAUACAUCGGAACGUGCCCGAGAGUGGGGGAUAACGGAGCGAAAGCUUUGCUAAUACCGCAUACGAUCUACGGAUGAAAGCAGGGGACCGCAAGGCCUUGCGCUCAUGGAGCGGCCGAUGGCAGAUUAGGUAGUUGGUGGGAUAAAAGCUUACCAAGCCGACGAUCUGUAGCUGGUCUGAGAGGACGACCAGCCACACUGGGACUGAGACACGGCCCAGACUCCUACGGGAGGCAGCAGUGGGGAAUUUUGGACAAUGGGCGCAAGCCUGAUCCAGCCAUGCCGCGUGCAGGAUGAAGGCCUUCGGGUUGUAAACUGCUUUUGUACGGAACGAAAAGACUCUGGUUAAUACCUGGGGUCCAUGACGGUACCGUAAGAAUAAGCACCGGCUAA